Ipomoea nil (Japanese morning glory) is the source of this 324-nucleotide long non-coding RNA. RefSeq lists it as uncharacterized. The transcript has 2 exons. NCBI's taxonomy places the organism in Eukaryota, Viridiplantae, Streptophyta, Magnoliopsida, Solanales, Convolvulaceae. The record is from RefSeq and is a predicted model, not a curated record.
GCCUCCUUCGCUCAGUUCUUCGUGUCACGUCGUCUGCUUGCGAUCCACCCCUUCAUGUUCGCAACUACCUUCUCCAAUCAACUACCGGUCGUUGCUUCUCUCCAAGAUGGCACCAAAUCGAAAAAAAAUGUACAUGAAGGUCGAAGUGAGAACAAAGAUGAAAACCAACGUGGUAAAGAUUUGGGCAGGGUUAGUUGGUCAAAAGAACAGCUUCACCUUCUUUGUGAUCUUUGUAUACAAUACGUUGAAAAAAGUAAAGGGAAAAGCGGUGGAGUAACAUCUCAAAGGUUAGUGUGGAAGAAGAUAGAAGUAGAAUUUCAAAAA